UCCAGAACCAGUGGGUGUGGGGGCAACUUACAGAGCAGCUGUUCACGAGGCCCAAGACAACCUUGGGGGCUGCAGGGGGAAGGAGGCGCCCUCAUCCCGCCUCUGCAGAUCCAUCCUGCAUCCUACUGCCUCCCGAUGAAGGAAGGCUUUCCCACUCGCCCUGGCCUCCUUUCUGAAUUUCCGGAGCAUGAACCAGUCAUUGCCUGAAGCUACCAAGAAAGGAAAGCAGCCCCUGAUGGCCGGCCACAGCUGGACCCUGGUGGUCUCCUGCUGAACAUAAUGUCAGCAUUAUACAAGGCCACUCUCCGGCCACUCUGUAGCAUGUGUGAACACAGGUAAGGCAUGGACAUUGUCCGAACCAUGGAGAAGACCAAGCGUCUCCCUUUCCUGGCUCCCUUCAUUGCUCCUGCCUUCUAGACAAGGGUCACUGUGGCUCUCGUAGAAGUACCUGCCUCCCAAGAGCACCCAGCCGAGCAGGGCCCUGCUUCCUUCAACCCUUCCCCAAAUCACCCAAUGCCAACCUGAUCCUUUACAUCCUUUCCAACUUGCUCUUCCUGAGAUGCCCACAGCUCCCUGUGGUCGCACCCCUUGC
Molecule: non-coding RNA, 592 nt
Organism: Microcebus murinus (gray mouse lemur)
Lineage: Eukaryota; Metazoa; Chordata; Mammalia; Primates; Cheirogaleidae
Source: RefSeq, a predicted model, not a curated record